This 767-nucleotide ribosomal RNA is filed under the name bacterium SAL_7. Its description in RNAcentral is "bacterial SSU rRNA". It matches the Rfam family "Bacterial small subunit ribosomal RNA", at positions 96 to 850 of the family's 1533-position model. The record is from RNAcentral.
CGGCGGACGGGUGAGUAACACGUGGAUACCUACCUAUAAGACUGGGAUAACUUCGGGAAACCGGAGCUAAUACCGGAUAACAUAUUGAACCGCAUGGUUCAAUAGUGAAAGGCGGCUUUGCUGUCACUUAUAGAUGGAUCCGCGCCGUAUUAGCUAGUUGGUAAGGUAACGGCUUACCAAGGCAACGAUACGUAGCCGACCUGAGAGGGUGAUCGGCCACACUGGAACUGAGACACGGUCCAGACUCCUACGGGAGGCAGCAGUAGGGAAUCUUCCGCAAUGGGCGAAAGCCUGACGGAGCAACGCCGCGUGAGUGAUGAAGGUCUUCGGAUCGUAAAACUCUGUUAUCAGGGAAGAACAAAUGUGUAAGUAACUGUGCACAUCUUGACGGUACCUGAUCAGAAAGCCACGGCUAACUACGUGCCAGCAGCCGCGGUAAUACGUAGGUGGCAAGCGUUAUCCGGAAUUAUUGGGCGUAAAGCGCGCGUAGGCGGUUUUUUAAGUCUGAUGUGAAAGCCCACGGCUCAACCGUGGAGGGUCAUUGGAAACUGGAAAACUUGAGUGCAGAAGAGGAAAGUGGAAUUCCAUGUGUAGCGGUGAAAUGCGCAGAGAUAUGGAGGAACACCAGUGGCGAAGGCGACUUUCUGGUCUGUAACUGACGCUGAUGUGCGAAAGCGUGGGGAUCAAACAGGAUUAGAUACCCUGGUAGUCCACGCCGUAAACGAUGAGUGCUAAGUGUUAGGGGGUUUCCGCCCCUUAGUGCUGCA